CAGUCGCCGCGGGAAUACGUAGGGUGCGAGCGUUAAUCGGAAUUACUGGGCGUAAAGCGUGCGCAGGCGGUUGUGUAAGACAGGUGUGAAAUCCCCGGGCUUAACCUGGGAACUGCGCUUGUGACUGCACAGCUAGAGUAUGGCAGAGGGGGGUGGAAUUCCACGUGUAGCAGUGAAAUGCGUAGAGAUGUGGAGGAACACCGAUGGCGAAGGCAGCCCCCUGGACAAAGACUGACGCUCAGGUGCGAAAGCGUGGGGAGCAAACAGGAUUAGAUACCCCCGUAGUCCCUGUCUCUUAUAC
RNAcentral lists this ribosomal RNA (301 nucleotides) under uncultured bacterium. Its description in RNAcentral is "partial 16S ribosomal RNA". It matches the Rfam family "Bacterial small subunit ribosomal RNA", at positions 509 to 807 of the family's 1533-position model. The record is from RNAcentral.